Long non-coding RNA from Triticum dicoccoides, 1957 nucleotides. RefSeq lists it as uncharacterized. NCBI's taxonomy places the organism in Eukaryota, Viridiplantae, Streptophyta, Magnoliopsida, Poales, Poaceae. The transcript has 9 exons. The record is from RefSeq and is a predicted model, not a curated record.
AGCUCCUCGUCGCCAGGCGGAGGGCCACCGAGGGCGUCGAGCGCCGCAAGGAGCAGAUGCAGGCGCAGAUCGAGCGGGUGCUGCCGCUCUCCAGGGCCCUCGCCGCCGCGCACCGGCAAGUGCAGGUACCUGCCUGCCCGCCCGUUUCUUCCUCUCAACGCGAGACUGGAAUGCUUUGGCUAUUGUGGCUGCCUGCGUUUGGUCCAAUAGCAUCUGUCAAUAGCAAGGCAGGGGUCUGGAAGUGCAUGCCGUAGUAUAUACGGUGGAUUUGUGAAAUGGUGUAUGGAAAAAAUGAUGAUGGAAGUGACAGUAUGGCAGUACAGCUUGUUGACGAAUUGCAUUGGGAUGAUCUUGUUAUAAUCAUAGCAGUGGUCAGUUCAAAGCAGAAGGAAACCAGUAGCACCAGUGGGAUGCGGGACACUGUUGAAACAAGCCCCCUCUUGCAGUACAGGGCCCAGGUUAACUUGUGCAGAUAGCAACCAGUUUCAUGUUGUAUGUUUGGACACGAGUCCUCCCAUGUUCUACAUGAAUGAUACGUCACACAGGAUAAUUAGCCUUGUGGAGAAGUGGAACCACUCGGAAGGAACCCCACAGGUAUAUUCUGUUCCUGUUUAACACUUGCUACCUUGUUUUAAAUUCUUCUGACCUGCGUCAGUGCUGCAUAUAGGGUUCUAAAAUAGGGGAACAUAUAGUUCAGUUUGAAGAGUUCAUGAUGAAAACAUAUUCCCGCAGCCACUGCCUCCUCGAUCUACGCUAGCCUGGAGCAGCAAGGUGAAAUGUGGAGUAAGAGGAGACACCAGACCAAGAUGCAAUGAAUAUUUUGAUUCGUGGUGAUUGGGCAGAUGACUAUCAACACCAACUGCAGCAUCGUCCAUCUUGCGAGCAUACUACCAAGCUGCGCAGGGUUAAGGAGGAAUUCACCAAGAAAUAAAAACGGAGAAGAGGCCGUAAGUGCUACUACCAAUAGCCUCAAACAAGAAAAUGGAUACUUUCCGUGAUAAUCUGUGCAAUAUUUCAAAAGUUUUAGCAAGUGUCUAAUCAUAUAACGUGAAUAACAAAUUACUAUUAGUAUGAGCAAUGUGCAUGGUUCAGAAAAGAGUAAACAAUGUGAGUUACUAUUCUAUUACAGUGGAUAUCUUCUUUUUCCAGGCCUAAGCUUAAAGAACAAGUGAGGUAUUGUGACCAACACCCUGAGGAGAUUGACACACUUGUAGAAGUGAAGGCUCAGUUUUCAGAGACGAAGAAAUGCCGCAAAACUUCGAGAAGGUGCGUGUCUAUUGUACUUUCAGUCUGAUAGUGACUGAUUCCUAUGGGGUUAUUUCCGAAACUUUGUCCUGUUUGCUUAUUUCCUUACAAGUUGUAAUCUAACCUUGAACUGCUUAUCAAUAGCUGAGCUUCAGUUAAAACUACUACAAAAACGUAAGAAAACUCUUAAUAUUGUUGCUCGAUUUUGCAACUUCCAUCUCAACCUAAGCUCGUCAGACCCACUUAGAGUAUGCGAACUUCUACUGUUUGCAUUGGUGAUUGGCAUCACCGACAAUAGUUUUCUACUACAGAUCUUGAUCUAGCUGAAGCAGGGAGCAAUGCCUAGCUGUAGAUGUUGGCCCUUCUUUAUGAAGAUAAGUUUAGCCUUUAGGCAAAGCAAAAGUUAAAAAAUUAGUGCAAUUUCUUGAUUGUUUUAUUCUGCGUUCUUAUUCCAGUACAAUUUCAGAAAAUUAGUACCCAUUAUCUUUUAAAGGGGAGAUUCAUAACCAACCCAAAUUAGUGCCCCUUCAAAGUCACUUGGCGUUUUCUUCAAGUGGAUGGCGGAGGCGGCGGCAAUCACUCGAGGUGGCUGGGGCACCUCGGGCUGGGGGCUUUGCGCUGUGUCCAGGGCAGCUCCCUGGCCGUGCGGUGGCAACCGACAACCCCAUCGCUGGUGGUGCUGGCAAUGGUGUGCAUGGUGGCGGCCGCGGAU